Molecule: long non-coding RNA, 394 nt
Organism: Thunnus maccoyii (southern bluefin tuna)
Lineage: Eukaryota; Metazoa; Chordata; Actinopteri; Scombriformes; Scombridae
Exons: 3
Source: RefSeq, a predicted model, not a curated record
UCUUUCCUCCCGGUGGAGCGGCUGGUGCGUCUCUUCCUUCUCCCCGCCGGUACAGAGAUGCUGCCUUCAAGUACUCCUCAGGAAGCCAUCGCAUCAGAACCCAUCUCCGACCAUCCGUUUCUUGCUGCAUGGCAUGUGGUUUUCUCCAAGGUUAUGAAUGGACCGUGUUCAGACUUGAGAUGAUGAAAUCAAUAAGCCAUGUGUGAGGUCCAUGUCCUGAGAGAGAGAGACACACUGGAGGAGAAAGAACAAGGGAGGAGAGUGGAGGGAAAAGGGGAGCUGAAGAGGAGAGGAGAGGAGGGGUGUGAGGUAGGAGAUAUACAAGGGUGUGAAGAAGCAGGAGGGAAGAAUAUAGGAUAAGACAAGGAGAGGGACCCGAGAGAGAAGGGAGGGC